UACGUAGGGCGCAAGCGUUGUCCGGAAUUACUGGGCGUAAAGGGCUCGUAGGCGGCCAACUAAGUCGGACGUGAAAUCCCCAGGCUCAACCUGGGAACUGCGUCCGAUACUGGAUGGCUUGAAUCCGGGAGAGGGAUGCAGAAUUCCAGGUGUAGCGGUGAAAUGCGUAGAUAUCUGGAGGAAUACCGGUGGCGAAGGCGGCAUCCUGGACCGGCAUUGACGCUGAGGAGCGAAAGCCAGGGGAGCAAACGGG
This 253-nucleotide ribosomal RNA is filed under the name uncultured bacterium. RNAcentral describes it as "partial 16S ribosomal RNA". It matches the Rfam family "Bacterial small subunit ribosomal RNA", at positions 524 to 776 of the family's 1533-position model. The record is from RNAcentral.